UACGUAGGGGGCAAGCGUUGUCCGGAAUGAUUGGGCGUAAAGGGCGCGUAGGCGGCUUUAUAAGUCUGAAGUGAAAGUCCUGCUUUCAAGGUGGGAAUUGCUUUGGAUACUGUAGAGCUUGAGUGCAGGAGAGGUAAGUGGAAUUCCCAGUGUAGCGGUGAAAUGCGUAGAGAUUGGGAGGAACACCAGUGGCGAAGGCGACUUACUGGACUGUAACUGACGCUGAGGCGCGAAAGUGUGGGGAGCAAACAGG
Molecule: ribosomal RNA, 253 nt
Filed under: uncultured Eubacteriales bacterium
Lineage: Bacteria; Bacillati; Bacillota; Clostridia; Eubacteriales
Description: uncultured Clostridiales bacterium partial 16S ribosomal RNA
Rfam family: Bacterial small subunit ribosomal RNA
Source: RNAcentral